GCGGGCAUAGUUGAAAGGCUCAACAACUCCCUUCCAAGGAGUAGAUCGGAGUUCGAUUCUCCGUGCCCGCU
This 71-nucleotide transfer RNA is filed under the name Candidatus Woesebacteria bacterium. Its description in RNAcentral is "tRNA-Gly". It matches the Rfam family "tRNA". From Rfam's summary of the family: Transfer RNA (tRNA) molecules are approximately 80 nucleotides in length. Their secondary structure includes four short double-helical elements and three loops (D, anti-codon, and T loops). Lineage: Bacteria; Candidatus Woeseibacteriota. The record is from RNAcentral.